This 66-nucleotide microRNA precursor is filed under the name Bombyx mori (domestic silkworm). Its description in RNAcentral is "mir-2774 microRNA precursor family". It matches the Rfam family "mir-2774 microRNA precursor family". The record is from Rfam by way of RNAcentral. Lineage: Eukaryota; Metazoa; Arthropoda; Insecta; Lepidoptera; Bombycidae.
ACAACAUUCGGACCGUCGGUCUACCGAGCAAUAUCACCCGCUCGGUGGAAGAUCUUCCUUUGUCGU